GACGAACGCUGGCGGCGUGCUUAACACAUGCAAGUCGAACGGUGAACCCCAGCUUGCUGGGGGGAUCAGUGGCGAACGGGUGAGUAACACGUGAGUAACCUGCCCCUGACUCUGGGAUAAGCCUUGGAAACGAGGUCUAAUACCGGAUACGUGCCGCUCGGGCAUCCGAUGCGGUUGGAAAGAUUUAUCGGUCAGGGAUGGACUCGCGGCCUAUCAGCUUGUUGGUGGGGUAACGGCCCACCAAGGCGACGACGGGUAGCCGGCCUGAGAGGGCGACCGGCCACACUGGGACUGAGACACGGCCCAGACUCCUACGGGAGGCAGCAGUGGGGAAUAUUGCACAAUGGGCGCAAGCCUGAUGCAGCGACGCCGCGUGAGGGAUGAAGGCCUUCGGGUUGUAAACCUCUUUCAGCAGGGAAGAAGCGCAAGUGACGGUACCUGCAGAAGAAGCGCCGGCUAACUACGUGCCAGCAGCCGCGGUAAUACGUAGGGCGCAAGCGUUGUCCGGAAUUAUUGGGCGUAAAGAGCUCGUAGGCGGUUUGUCGCGUCUGCUGUGAAAACUCGAGGCUCAACCUCGGGCUUGCAGUGGGUACGGGCAGACUAGAGUGCGGUAGGGGAGACUGGAAUUCCUGGUGUAGCGGUGGAAUGCGCAGAUAUCAGGAGGAACACCGAUGGCGAAGGCAGGUCUCUGGGCCGCAACUGACGCUGAGGAGCGAAAGCAUGGGGAGCGAACAGGAUUAGAUACCCUGGUAGUCCAUGCCGUAAACGUUGGGCACUAGGUGUGGGGCUCAUUCCACGAGUUCCGUGCCGCAGCAAACGCAUUAAGUGCCCCGCCUGGGGAGUACGGCCGCAAGGCUAAAACUCAAAGAAAUUGACGGGGGCCCGCACAAGCGGCGGAGCAUGCGGAUUAAUUCGAUGCAACGCGAAGAACCUUACCAAGGCUUGACAUACACCGGAAACUUCCAGAGAUGGUUGCCCCGCAAGGUCGGUGUACAGGUGGUGCAUGGUUGUCGUCAGCUCGUGUCGUGAGAUGUUGGGUUAAGUCCCGCAACGAGCGCAACCCUCGUCCUAUGUUGCCAGCACGUGAUGGUGGGGACUCAUAGGAGACUGCCGGGGUCAACUCGGAGGAAGGUGGGGAUGACGUCAAAUCAUCAUGCCCCUUAUGUCUUGGGCUUCACGCAUGCUACAAUGGCCGGUACAAAGGGCUGCGAUACCGCGAGGUGGAGCGAAUCCCAAAAAGCCGGUCUCAGUUCGGAUUGGGGUCUGCAACUCGACCCCAUGAAGUCGGAGUCGCUAGUAAUCGCAGAUCAGCAACGCUGCGGUGAAUACGUUCCCGGGCCU
RNAcentral lists this ribosomal RNA (1341 nucleotides) under uncultured bacterium. Its description in RNAcentral is "bacterial SSU rRNA". It matches the Rfam family "Bacterial small subunit ribosomal RNA", at positions 28 to 1381 of the family's 1533-position model. The record is from RNAcentral.